Molecule: ribosomal RNA, 461 nt
Filed under: uncultured Sphingobacteriales bacterium
Lineage: Bacteria; Pseudomonadati; Bacteroidota; Sphingobacteriia; Sphingobacteriales
Description: bacterial SSU rRNA
Rfam family: Bacterial small subunit ribosomal RNA
Source: RNAcentral
GCACAAGCGGAGGAGCAUGUGGUUUAAUUCGAUGAUACGCGAGGAACCUUACCUGGGCUCGAACGUAAGAUGACUGUAGGGUGAAAGCUUACAUCUCUUCGGAGCAUUUUACGAGGUGCUGCAUGGUUGUCGUCAGCUCGUGCCGUGAGGUGUCGGGUUAAGUCCCAUAACGAGCGCAACCCUUACCUUUAGUUGCCAUCAGGUAAUGCUGGGGACUCUAAAGGAACUGCCUACGCAAGUAGUGAGGAAGGCGGGGGAUGACGUCAAAUCAGCACGGCCCUUACGUCCAGGGCUACACACGUGCUACAAUGGCCGAUACAGAGGGCAGCUACCUGGUGACAGGAUGCAAAUCUCCAAAGUCGGUCUCAGUUCGGAUCGGAGUCUGCAACCCGACUCCGUGAAGUUGGAUUCGCUAGUAAUCGCGCAUCAGCCAUGGCGCGGUGAAUACGUUCCCGGGCCUU